UCGUCUGUGUGUUUAAUACUUCGCCAUGUCAACCACAUACAUGUUCAGUGGCCAAGUACUAACUUCUCUUGGACACAAGCCACUCUGUGCACAGUCAGGUUAUGCUGGGUUCUGAUUGCUUGGGUCCUGUUGUGGUCCUACUAGUCCCAACACCAGUUAGCAGUACAAAGCCUUAUGAAUUUUGAUGAAAACCCUGGCCAUGCCAACAUUCCAUGUUAUUUUUGUGUACGAUUAAUUCACAUUAUUUUUUUUGCAUUCAAAGUCUUGCUCCAAUAUCUGCUAUUUUAUCAUGAGCAAAUUACUUAACCUUGAUAAGCCUCAGUUUCCUGACUGUAAAAUGGCAAAACUCAUAGUACCUACUUCUUAAGUUGUCAUGAGGAUUAACUGAGUUGUUACGGCAAAGGCCUAGGAAUAGGUCUUGACACAUUGUAAGUGUGAAAUUAUUAUCUUAUAAAUGAUAAUGUCCAGCUAAUAUAUCCUGCAAAUGGGAUGCUUCCAAAUACCCUUUGAAUUCUCUUAAAAGAGCUGAAAAAUGUAUGUUUCUUGAUCUUGCACAUUAUAGGUUUCAAGCUUGUAGCCUACCUGACAGACACAUCCAGUGGACAUAUUUUACUUGCACAGCCUCAAGUUUCAAAAAAUUAGAAUCAGUGCUCCCUUUUUUUGUUUACAGACAGGGUCUCACUAUGUUGCCCAGGCUGGUCUCAAACUCCUGGGCUCAAGUGGUCUUUUCCCCUCAGCCUUCUGAGUAGCUGGGAUUACAGGUGCGCACGUUAUGUGGUAGACAACUUCAGACAUGGCUCCCAAUAGUCUUUACCUCGCCUAUUUAUGCCUGUUUAAGAAAAACUCAAAACGACUGGCUAAUGGCUCAUAUUUUAAAAUCAGGACCGUUCAUAUAAACAUCUGGCUUUCCAGCUUCUCCUGAGGAAUGGGAAGAGAUGGCACCGUGGUACACAUUCUUUCAGGCUGUCAUUUGGAGUUGACACUGCUGUGGUUGCUCACUGUGGAGAAGACAGACACUGUCCAGGUCAGAAACUCCUGGUUUACAACACUCUCAUUUUUCUACACCUGGGAAAGUUUCAGGCACUUGCCUUACCUGCCUGGCUCCUGAAAUAAUGAAAAUAAUGGCUAACACAUACACAGAGCAUGCUAUGAAUCAGGCACUAUCUCAAUCCAUCCCCACAACAAACCUAAGGGAGAAGUAUUGUUAUUGUCUCAUUUUAAGGAUGAGAGGACGUAGAACGGCUAAGGUUGUGCAGCUGGCAUGCGGCAGAGCUGGGAGUUGCACACUCUGACUCCCAAUUCUGGGCUCUCGCCCCUACACUCUACUCUAGAGUAACCCCUUAUUCCUACCUGGGUCAAGUUUUCUGCAGUUGUAUGAAUAAAAGGGGAACAUGCUCCAGGGUGUCCAUCUUCAGCUCUCGUCAUGUUGGCCAAGAGGGCUUAGUUGUGGAUGCCAAAGGUCAUGAUUUAUGGAAUUAGCUGCUUAAUUUCCCAGUCGCCCUCAACAUUCCCAGACUCAUCUCUGAUGCACAAGGAUAGUUCUACCCAGAAUAGAAGCUCCUGUUGGAGGCCACUGAAUUUAGAGUGAGGGUCUCUUCCUACACUGGAGUCUCCCCAACUCGACCCCGAGUGGCAGGACACAGAGAGAAAACCCAUCUUCAGGAGUUGGUACAUUCUGCUUAUCCCUAACAACCAUAGACACAUCCCUUCGUAGAUGACUGUAAACUAUCCAUUUUAUUCAGUUUCCGAUCAUGCUAGAAUCGAAUCAAGGUGGCACAUCCCUUUACUGAAAAUGUUAUGCUCU
RNAcentral lists this long non-coding RNA (1804 nucleotides) under Macaca fascicularis (crab-eating macaque). RNAcentral describes it as "lncRNA (ENSMFAG00000047420.1)". Lineage: Eukaryota; Metazoa; Chordata; Mammalia; Primates; Cercopithecidae. The record is from RNAcentral.